This 1224-nucleotide ribosomal RNA is filed under the name uncultured microorganism. RNAcentral describes it as "bacterial SSU rRNA". It matches the Rfam family "Bacterial small subunit ribosomal RNA", at positions 244 to 1501 of the family's 1533-position model. The record is from RNAcentral.
GCUUGGUUGGUGAGGUUACGGCUCACCAAGGCGACGAUCAGUAGCCGGCCUGAGAGGGCGGACGCCCACACUGGGACUGAGAAACGGCCAGCUCUACGAGCAGCAGUGGGAUGUACGCAUGGGCCCAAGCUGACGACGCACGCGCUGGAGAUGAAGUCUCGGAUGUAACUCCUGUGGACCGGGAAGAAUGGCCUGACUACACGUCGGGGCAAUGACGGUACCGGUUGAGGAAGCACGGCUAACUCUGUGCCAGCAGCCGCGGUAAUACAGAGGUGGCAAGCGUUGUUCGGAAUUACUGGGCGUAAAGGGCGCGUAGGCGGCCGCCUAAGUCAGACGUGAAAUCCCCAAGCUUAACUUGGGAACUGCGUCUGAUACUGGGUGGCUGGAGUUCGGGAGAGGAAUGUGGAAUUCCAGGUGUAGCGGUGAAAUGCGUAGAUAUCCGGAGGAACACCGGUGGCGAAGGCGGCAUCUGGACCGAAACUGACGCUGAGGCGCGAAAGCCAGGGGAGCAAACGGGAUUAGAUACCCCGGUAGUCCUGGCCCUAAACGAUGAGUGCUUGGUGUGGUGGGUAUCGAUCCCUGCCGUGCCGAAGCUAACGCAUUAAGCACUCCGCCUGGGGAGUACGGUCGCAAGGCUGAAACUCAAAGGAAUUGACGGGGGCCCGCACAAGCGGUGGAGCAUGUGGUUCAAUUCGACGCAACGCGAAGAACCUUACCUGGGCUCGAAAUGCAGCUGACAUCCGGCGAAAGCCGGCUCCCGCAAGGGCAGCUGUAUAGGUGCUGCACGGCUGUCGUCAGCUCGUGUCGUGAGAUGUUGGGUUAAGUCCCGCAACGAGCGCAACCCUCGUCCUCUGUUGCCAUCACGUUAUGCUGGGCACUCUGAGGAGACUGCCGGUGAUAAACCGGAGGAAGGUGGGGAUGACGUCAAGUCAGCAUGGCCUUUAUGUCCAGGGCCACACACGUGCUACAAUGGCCGAUACAAAGCGUCGCAUCUCGCAGAGUGAGCUAAUCGCAGAAGUCGGUCUCAGUUCGGAUUGUCGCUGCACUCGCCGACUGAGUUGGAAUCGCUAGUAAUCGCGGAUCAGCAUGCCGCGGUGAAUACGUCCCGGCUUGUACACACCCCCCGUCCAUCCGAACCUGCCUGUACUAGAAGUAGCCGCCAACCCGCAGGGGGCAAGUCCUAAGUAUGCUCAGUGAUUGGGGUGAAGUCGUAACAAGGUAACC